This 468-nucleotide ribosomal RNA is filed under the name uncultured bacterium. Its description in RNAcentral is "partial 16S ribosomal RNA". It matches the Rfam family "Bacterial small subunit ribosomal RNA", at positions 28 to 507 of the family's 1533-position model. The record is from RNAcentral.
GACGAACGCUGGCGGCGUGCUUAACACAUGCAAGUCGAACGGAAAGGCCCUGCUUUUGUGGGGUGCUCGAGUGGCGAACGGGUGAGUAACACGUGAGUAACCUGCCCUUGACUUUGGGAUAACUUCAGGAAACUGGGGCUAAUACAGGAUAGGAGCUCCUGCUGCAUGGUGGGGGUUGGAAAGUUUCGGCGGUUGGGGAUGGACUCGCGGCUUAUCAGCUUGCUGGUGGGGGAGUGGCUUACCAAGGCUUUGACGGGUAGGCGGCCUGAGAGGGUGGCCGGCGUCAAGGGGACUGGGAUACGGCCCAGACGCCUACGGGAGGCAGCGGUGGGGAAUAUUGCACAAUGAGCGGAAGCCUGUGGCAGAGACGCCGCGUGCGGGAUGACGGCCUUCGGGUAGUAAACCGCUUUCGCCUGUGACGAAGCGUGAGUGACGGUAAUGGGUAAAGAAGCACCGGCUAACUACGUG